UUCCGCUUCUUGCUUCCUCUGCCUCCAGUGACAUUCUACCAGAUAUUUUGAUGGCUACCUUGUCAUCAGCUUCGAGGAUUUACAUAAAAUUCGCCUUUUUGUUAUGGAGUACCUACCAUAGAUUCAGGAGAGAUAACAGGUAAUUUGGAGAGGACUGCUGUGUAUUCACGGAGCUCUUAGGAGAAAGAAGGAACCAGCUCAGUCAGACUGACACCUAAUGGAAACUUUUAUAAGAAGAUAAUUCUGCAAAGGAAAGAGAGCAAUGAGAUAAGUAUUGAAACCACUUGAACCAAGAAAAUCAAAUACUUGUUGACCAUGAGAUGAGUAGAGGUUUCCUUUAGAUUUCAUCACUAGCAUUUACAAUUAUUCCACUUAAAAAAUUAUUAUUCAUUUAUGAAGCAAAUGCAAUCAUAAGCUAAAGUCCCACUGGCAAAGAACUGAAUGAAAUAGCUUGUUUUUAAAAGUUCUUCCUCAGUCUCUCAACGAAUGCCAGAGUAUUACCUUUCAUUUCCGGAAAACUCUAUCACUAGGCCCCCAGCUCCCUUUCUUUCAAAUCUUAUACACUUACUAGUCAACCAGCAGCAUGAGGCUAACUUUCCAAAGAUCACCUAGUUACUAGAUUAUGUGGCUCUCUCUACUUUCCCAAUUUCCCAAUAAAACAAUGCCACUAGCAGACAUAUUGAAUUUUGUUAAAUACAUAACAAGCCCUUAAUCACCAACUGGUGUAUCCCUAUGGAAAGAGGAUAAUUCAUGGAACAAUGAAGGGAAGAACAGUAGUCACACAUUCCCUUGCUAGUGAGAGAAUGUCGAGUGCAGAGAUAGCAUAUUUGUGCUUUCUUUUCUACUUCAAUUCCUUCCUUAAAGGGACUUGCCCUGGGAGCUUCUCAGAAGGUCCCCACUCAUUUUCCUCGCAAACAACUUUCCCUGAGCGCAAAAGCUGUGAGUGUAGAUACCCCGCGAGUAACUGUGGGAUCAGACGCGGUGUAGUGGAAAUAGGGUCAGGAGAGGAGUGGCGCCUUGUACCCCUCACUAGGAAUCCAAAGUACUAAAAGAAACGCAAAGCUCUACAUGGGAAAGCAUGCGAGUGUGCCUGCCUUCUUCGAAGCACCUCGCUCUCCAGGGCUCAGAGCUGCCCUUGUGGGCAAGAACUCAGUGCGGGUACGUGCACGUCGCGCCCAGGAAA
Molecule: long non-coding RNA, 1183 nt
Organism: Panthera uncia (snow leopard)
Lineage: Eukaryota; Metazoa; Chordata; Mammalia; Carnivora; Felidae
Exons: 3
Source: RefSeq, a predicted model, not a curated record